Lolium rigidum is the source of this 554-nucleotide long non-coding RNA. RefSeq lists it as uncharacterized. Lineage: Eukaryota; Viridiplantae; Streptophyta; Magnoliopsida; Poales; Poaceae. The transcript is spliced from 3 exons. The record is from RefSeq and is a predicted model, not a curated record.
GUCAUGAGCUCACCGUGCCGCAACCGUGGUGGCGGUGACGCUCAUCCUCGUGGACGACCUCUUCGUGAACUAGGUAUCCUGGUGUAGUUGAGAAACAGUGCUGGCAGCGGGAGGCGCAACGGCCUCUCCUCAGAAGAUGGACGCGCGUGGGUGGACCCGCGCCUGAGGGCCGCCAUGGUUGCGUUCGUCCUUGUGGCGAGCGAGCCAAGGACAGGGGAGGGCGGAGAUCACCCGUCGUCCUGGUGGCUGUUGGGGACAAGCACCUUGGGCGACAGCUGUGAACGGCGAGAGGAGCUCCCCACGCUGCAGGAAGAAGAGAUGGUGGUCGCCUGUCCAGAACUGUUGUUGCCGGCACCGGUGACGUCCCCAAGCUGUUGCUGCCAUCCACGACUCAGUCAUGCUGCUGCCGACGACCUCCCCAACCUGUAGCUGCCCUGUGAGGUUGUUCUCUCAACGUUACAAGAGUAUGGAGCACACUCUGAGGCAAGAUCCUAGAAAGGUUUAUCAUGGAUAUGGUCUAAUCGGUUUAUACCGUGGAUGCGCCACAACUUUGU